Molecule: long non-coding RNA, 3085 nt
Organism: Oncorhynchus tshawytscha (Chinook salmon)
Lineage: Eukaryota; Metazoa; Chordata; Actinopteri; Salmoniformes; Salmonidae
Source: Ensembl
AGACAGUGUAGUCACCUACAACCCACAGAAUAGUCACCUACAACCCACAGACACAGUGUAAUCACCUACAACCCACAGACACCACAGCCCAGAGUGCUUAACCCUAACAGUAAUUUAAUACCAAAAGCACAUUUUUUUUCACUUGGGAAAUACUGCACCAAAACAUCUUAGAUGUAAAAUUGUGCGACCUAAAAUCUCCUCGGCAAAACAUCAACUCAAGAAAUCUGUCAUUUUUUAAAAGUUUUAAUCUUAGAUUAAUUCAGACUAUUUUGAGGCAGUGUAUGUAUACUGGCUACGGCGUCUCAAGGUGGACAAACAAUACUAUUGCCGUCUUUUCUCAUUUUUCAAGCGAAGGUCUUUUAUGGUAUUAUGGCACACUAGGUUCGCCUAGCCGAGUCCGAAACAUGUGGAAAGCCUUCAGGACAAGACUCAUUACAAUAAACAGCAACCUGUGAAAAUAUAGCUCUUAUUCUUUGAUUAUUUGUUGUUCUUAUCUCUUUUUUUGGGGGGGGGGGGAUUUUCUUAAAAUCUUAAAACUACAUUAUUGGUUAAGGGGCUUGUAAAUACACCUGUUGUAUUCGGCGCAUGUGACAAAUAACAUUUUGAUUUGAUUUGGAAGGUGAUUGGUUCAAGAUGAUUUGUUUGUGGCCAUGUAGGGUUAUUACGCUAGCUGCUUGUGAUUAACCAGAUGACAUAAAACGAGAUAAGUAAAUUGUUUGUUGUCAAAGCUACAGCUGGGUGUGGAACUAGUCUGUUGUUGUUGAUUUUUCUAGUGGAUCCACUCCUUUAUACCAGUUGGUUCUAGACAGGUGUAACCUGAUUUCAGGUGAUUACCUGUUACGGUCUCCCUGUUUCAGGUACAGUAUCCUGACGUGGCGGUGACUGGAUGAAAUGCUAUUUUGUCGCUGCUUUAGGUUUUAGCAGUGUAAUUACAUAGAUAUGGAGGUUGCCUGUAUGUUAUGACAGCAGCGUAUUCUGCCUCACGGCAAAAAGUAGACACUAUCCUGUUGGUACUUGUCUGUCAGUGUAUAUAGUAUGACCACACACAGAAAAGACGACAGUAUCUAAAAAUAAAAAUAAAACAAGUUUGUAAAAGAAGAGUAGUAGUCACGAUCUUAAUUGUAUAUAUUUUGGAAGAAAGGUAUCUUAUUAAAGUUCUAGCCAUGCUGGGAUGUAGGAUUCUAUUGCUUCUAGAACUAUUUUGAACUAUUUAACUCCCCACUAAAAAUAUCCACUGUGUAGAUUCUUAUGAACCUUGCAAGUCCCAGGAUGUGGAAGUGGUACUGGGUGUGGCUCAGGAAUGCUAACAUUACAGAACCUGACUGACAGCUAUCAGGACACUUUGCGGUUUUCCAAAAACCCUUUUCUAUCCAACCCCUGUUUUCCUCCUACAUGUGACCACAACAUCUUAAGAGUAGAUGUAUUAUUUUUUUAAAUUUAUUAAACAGACAAACUAUAAUCUUCAGAAUACUUGGUGAUCACCUGAUGUGGAUGAUGGGUGUAAAUGUGGAAUUGGUGCUCGCUGUGGCUCAAAGCUGUCAACAGAACACAAACUGACUGACAGGUUUCAGGGGGCUUGAUAGCUUAGAAUGAAUGAGUUUCAAAGCAUUUACCUGUAUUAAAUCAUUAUCUGUAAAUAUAGGUUUGGGACAUGUUCACACUGCCAAUAUAUCUGAAGGACAGUAUAAACAGUAUAUCUGAAGGACAGUAUAACAAUAUAUCUGAAGGACAGUAUAACAAUAUAUCUGAAGGACAGUAUAACAAUAUAUCUGAAGGACAGUAUAAACAAUAUAUCUGAAGGACAGUAUAAACAGUAUAUCUGAAGGACAGUAUAAACAAUAUAUCUGAAGGACAGUAUAAACAAUAUAUCUGAAGGACAGUAUAAACAAUAUAUCUGAAGGACAGUAUAAACAAUAUAUCUGAAGGACAGUAUAACAAUAUAUCUGAAGGACAGUAUAACAAUAUAUCUGAAGGACAGUAUAAACAAUAUAUCUGAAGGACAGUAUAAACAGUAUAUCUGAAGGACAGUAUAAACAAUAUAUCUGAAGGACAGUAUAAACAAUAUAUCUGAAGGACAGUAUAAACAAUAUCCAUAAUGCUGAGAAUUUGCAUGUCCUUGUGAUUAAUUUACCCCCUCAUUCUUCUCGGUGAUCACCUGAUGUUUGUCAUCCCAGACAAAGCAAGUUAAGACACAUCAGUUGACUCGGUUCAAGCCAACAGUGUUGUCAUCGUGUUCUGUGAAAGCAUGCAGUUUCCCAUCAGCGCUCAGAGUCGUGCCAAGGUUUUUUAUUCCACCUUUAUUUAACCAGGUAAGCUAGUUGGGGAACAAGGUGCCAAUGUAAAUUAAAUGCCUCACUGCAGAUCAAUAGGCCUUAUGGGAUUAAGUACAUUUACUUUUCCAAAUCCCAAUUGGAACUUGGUACAAUUGGGAUAUUGUUCCCAAUUGGAACCUAUUUGAGAGCUGUGGUAUCGACAUCAGAUAUUUUCCCAUAGACCAGCCACCCAGUGAGUUUUGUUAUGUAUCCGUACCAAAUAUAUAUUCUGUUGUCAAGACAAAGAUCCUGAGAGUAGAGGCAGUUUUGGAAACUCCUUGGUGUAUCUCUCUCAACUCAAACAUCUUACUCCUUCAAUAGCAGUAUCAGUGCUAUCAGUGUAAUCAGUAUCGGUGUAAUCAGUAUCGGUGUAAUCAGUAUUGGUGUAAUCAGUAUCGGUGUAAUCAGUAUCGGUGUAAUCAGUAUCAGUGUAAUCAGUAUCGGUGUAAUCAGUAUCGGUGUAAUCAGUAUCGGUGUAAACAGUAUCGGUGUAAUCGGUAUUAGUGUAAUCGGUAUCAGUAUCAAUGUAAUCGGUAUCGGUGUAAUCAGCAGCGGUGUAAUCAGUAUCGGUAUCAAUGUAAUCAGUAUCGGUGUAAUCAGUAUCUGUGUAAUCAGUAUCAGUAUCAAUGCAAUCAGUAUCGGUGUAAUCAGUAUCGGUAUCAAUGUAAUCAGUAUCGGUGUAAUCAGUAUCGGUGUAUCGGUUAUCGGUGUAAUCAGUAUCGGUGUAAUCAGUAUCAGUAUCAAUGUAAUCAAUAUACGUGUAAUCAGUAUCG